This 29-nucleotide non-coding RNA is filed under the name Mus musculus (house mouse). Lineage: Eukaryota; Metazoa; Chordata; Mammalia; Rodentia; Muridae. The record is from RNAcentral.
UCAAAUGUUAUCCACUUUCUAGGUUUCCC